This 778-nucleotide ribosomal RNA is filed under the name uncultured Bacillota bacterium. RNAcentral describes it as "bacterial SSU rRNA". It matches the Rfam family "Bacterial small subunit ribosomal RNA", at positions 560 to 1338 of the family's 1533-position model. Lineage: Bacteria; Bacillati; Bacillota. The record is from RNAcentral.
GUAAAGGGAGCGCAGGCGGUUGGAAUAGUCUGAUGUGAAAGCCCACGGCUUAACCGUGGAAGGUCAUUGGAAACUGUCCAACUUGAAUGCAGAAGAGGUAAGUGGAAUUCCAUGUGUAGCGGUGAAAUGCGUAGAUAUAUGGAGGAACACCAGUGGCGAAGGCGACUUACUGGUCUGUAAUUGACGCUGAGGCUCGAAAGCGUGGGUAGCGAACAGGAUUAGAUACCCUGGUAGUCCACGCCGUAAACGAUGAGUGCUAAGUGUUGGAGGGUUUCCGCCCUUCAGUGCUGGAGUUAACGCAUUAAGCACUCCGCCUGGGGAGUACGGCCGCAAGGCUGAAACUCAAAGGAAUUGACGGGGACCCGCACAAGCGGUGGAGCAUGUGGUUUAAUUCGACGCAACGCGAAGAACCUUACCAGCUCUUGACAUCUUCUGUUCACCCUAGAGAUAGGGCUUCCCCUUCGGGGGCAGAAUGACAGGUGGUGCAUGGUUGUCGUCAGCUCGUGUCGUGAGAUGUUGGGUUAAGUCCCAUAACGAGCGCAACCCUUAUUGUUAGUUGCCAGCAUUCAGUUGGGCACUCUAGCGAGACUGCCGGUGAUAAACCGGAGGAAGGUGGGGAUGACGUCAAAUCAUCAUGCCCCUUAUGAGCUGGGCUACACACGUGCUACAAUGGACGGUACAACGGGUAGCGAGGGCGCGAGCCUUAGCAAAUCCUAAUAAGCCGUUCUCAGUUCGGAUUGUUCUCUGCAACUCGAGAGCAUGAAGCCGGAAUCGCUAG